GUGAGUUUACCAGAGAAAUGCGGUUCUCCGUUGCGUUCCUAAGCGCUAUUUUAGCCGCAACUGCCAUAUUCUACGAAUGCAGUGGUAUUCCAACGCCAGAAAGCGAACAAUGCACAUACAACGGCGGGACAUUGAAAAGUGGCGUAACCGCGCGAAUGCAAAAACCUUGUGUGGAGGUUGAAUGUAAACAGGGAAAUAUGCAGGUCAAAGAGUGUCCCAAAGUCAGCCCCAAUAAGACCGGGCAUUGCACAAUAACUCCUGGAAAUGGAAGUAUUUAUCCGUACUGCUGUUCAGAUAUAUAUUGUUCUCUGAAAUAAUAAUAAUAGCUGAAACGGCGCCUAAAUUAUGCCGUCUAACUACGCGAAAUGAUGUCUUCUGCAGAC
Molecule: long non-coding RNA, 383 nt
Organism: Dermacentor albipictus
Lineage: Eukaryota; Metazoa; Arthropoda; Arachnida; Ixodida; Ixodidae
Source: RefSeq, a predicted model, not a curated record